RNAcentral lists this long non-coding RNA (808 nucleotides) under Androctonus crassicauda. Lineage: Eukaryota; Metazoa; Arthropoda; Arachnida; Scorpiones; Buthidae. The record is from RNAcentral.
UCACACUAGGAAACCAGUUUGUUUGGCUUUAAAUGAAAUGGAAUGCUUUUUUAUCUUCGAUUUCUGAUGCUUUCUUUCCAGUUAACCUCCUCCGGCCUAUUAUUAAACAUAAAAUUCCUUUCUGCCGAAAUGAGUACCUCCUGUGCUACUAACCAACUCUUUCUACGCAUCGUAUGACCUAAAUGAAAGGACCACGCGGUGUUUUGAUCGAUUUAGCACCUGAAGAUGUUUAAAUCUAUUGAUUGUUGGUUGUUAGCAACCCCCGGUGAAGCCUUCAACUUUCUCCAGUCCCUAUUCAUUUACUAUGAGUCAUACAUACCAUCUGGGUUGGGGUCAUCGACCCUAAUGCUACCACAACAAUCUUAUAUUUCUUCGAUCCUUAUAGUCUCUCCCACCUGGUCUAUUCAUUUCGAGCAGCGCAUGACCACUUCUUUACCUUCUUUAAUCUGGUAAAUCUUCAGAUACUAUACCCCUUCCCCUCCAAUCAUUUGGAAAUGCUGACACCUAUUGAAUUUUUUUUUACCUUGGAGGAAUUAGAUUUCGUGUAAGAUAUUGUGCAAAUAACAGGAUUGCUCGUCUUUAUUUUUUUCCCUUUCUCUUUGUAUAACUUUUUUUUUUUUGUUUGGAAAUAAAAGCUUGAGGGAAAGAUUGGGUUGAAACAAUCUAGAACUCAGCAAUAAGAUAAGGGGAAAAAAUACUAUCUUUUCUAAACUAUACAAUAACAUAUAAUGACUAUAUAGCGAUAUAAAUGACCUUUUUCAAUAUUUUUUGUCUUCAUCAUUAUAUUAUUAUCCAAUUUUUUAAGCAC